GUGGGUUUAUUUUCUUUAUUAAAUAAAGCGUUUUAAUUUAGCGGGUUAUUAAUGCAUGACCGUAUCAACACUCGUCUAAGCGUGUAUAAAACAGGUUUAGAAGUUUACACCGUUAUCUCUGUCACGUGAAUUCCGUGCGUAGAAUCCUACAGCUUUAGUAAAUCACUUCUAGCUUAAAUUCCAACGUGGUAACAUCGUUCAUUAAAACCCACAGCCGAUGUUUAUAUAGCAGCUGAUAUGGUUUAAAAUGCCGAAUACCGUCAUCUAACAUUCAGAUAAGUAUUUUAUUUGCCAUAAUUGUUUUUUUUUAACAGUUAGAGAUUGUAUUCUACGAUUUUAAGUUCUACCUCUCAUGUACAUUGUAUUUCAUAGUUAGUGAGUUCGCUACCUUUGUUCUCUACCUUGCCUUAAUUAAAUAAAUCAGUUAGCUUUAGUAUUAUACAAUAUAAAAGUGCAUGAUUUAUUUAGUUUCCGACUGUUUAAUACAUUUGAAUAUUCUUUUACUUUUUGAAAACCCAAUUUUCUAGUUAUCUUGACACAUCAGCACGAACACGUGCCAUCAGCACGAACACGUGCUUGGUUUCUCCUAAACAGAUAGUGAUUCAACAUUGACGAUUUAUACUGUUUAUCUAUAUAUCUGGUUUAUAUUUCAAUAUGUUACGAAUUUCAAUUACUGUAGUAUCUGCCCUAUCUGAAGCAGAAUUCUGUUAUUCAUUGAAUGAAUUUAGUUGGGGUUUUUUCACCGCAUAAUAUAAAUUUUAAUGAUUUUGCGUACAUUUUAUUUCUAAUACCAAUUCUUGUGUGGUGUCAAUUAUCAUCAACUUAUUCAGUAGGUGGUUAAUAUAAGAUAAAACGAACAGUAAUGGUUAUAUACAACUUUCGUGAAAAACCCAUAUCGAACACAGACAACUGAAUUUUCUACAGGCUGGUUAUAUUUGUUUAGAAUAAGUGCCAGCUCUUUUUAGAGACUUGUUAUUAUACCUGUAAAUAAAAUGGGUAGCUUAAAUAUUUAAAGCUUUGACAAUCUUAACCUUUCGGAUGUUGGUCGUAUAAACCUCUGGUUAAAUGCCGAUUUAAAUAAAUUAGUACUACCACGCGGUCUUAGACCGUUAGUUGUGGGCGUGGUCUUUGAUAAUGUAUAAAGUAUGUAUAUAUUUGACAUUGUUGGGUAGAGCAGACUAUUUUUCACUAAUUAUCUUGCUGGGAGGCCAAAUAUUUAUAACAUUAUUUUUUUUUUCUACACUCACAUGUGAAUGAUAUUUUGUUGUAAAGUUGCAUUUGGUAAUAAGGGUUUAUCGCAACAUAAACUUGAUGUGCGAUCGGCCGUGUAAAGUAGACAUCUGCUCAGUACUAUAAAUUCUGUGUAUACCUAGCUUAUAAUUUAUUUCUUACACAAAAUUAAAUCUUUUCCGAUUAUACUCUUCGUUUUAUGUAUCACCUUUUUCAUUCCUGCCAGCUAUAAAUAAAGGAAUUGAUGUAGUUUCUGGAUAUUUUGCUACGACUGACCGCGUAUAAUUUAUAUGUUAUCAUGUGUUUAACUGUUUUCCUUGUCUUUCUAUGUAGCAUAACCAAAAGGAUUGGCAGAUCAUCGGCUCGUGAGUCUAAUCCCAUCAGUCAUCAAAGGACGAACACAUGUUGUCUUUUCUUAUGAAGAAAUUGGUCAUUCAAUCAUUAAACAAUAUGGCAUAGUGGCAUGGCAUGGUUUUUGGUUGACAGUUAACAAAGAAUUUCAAUACGCAUAUGGCGUCGAGCUGUGAGCCGGACUCCAUUCCACUGUUAAACCAUGCCAUGCCAUGCCAUGCUGCUUGCCCAACUAAAGAGUACCACAAUAAGGAGACCAUCCGUAAUAAACUUGGACAUAGUGUUAACUUUCAUCACUGUAUGAUGUUCAUAGCUGGAACAAAAGCUGUCUGCAGUAGACAUUUAACUUAUAAACAGUGUUAAAACUUGUAAUUUUUAACAGUGUUAAAAGUCGUAACUAAUAAUUGUGCAAAUGCGUAAAGUUAAAAAAUACUCCAAUAGAACAUUUAAAUAAUUUCAAAACAUGCGUAAAUGUAAAAUUUGUAUCAAUUUGCAAGGAUGCGAUCCGACAUCCGGUGGUAUGACAUUGACAAACGGAUGCAGGUUUCCUAUUUUCCCAAUGGGUUUUGGUUUUCCUGAGCGAGUCGACCACAGUUUGCAGAUUGAUUAAUUGCGUAUGUUAGACUUUUUAUUGGGCACACAAUUGUCCUUUGUCGAAAUUUAACCUAGAGAUAAAUCAAUUGUAUCAGUUUCGAGAUGAACUUGUAUGUUAUAAGAUUUUUUCCUUUUUGUGUGUGUGUGUUAAUUGACAUGUUAACCCCCCCCCCCCCUGUUCUAAUCGCCCGUCGUGACUUUAGCUCUUUCAUUUUAUUGAACUUAAUUUUGAAAGUCAUCUAUUUCACUCGUCAAAGAUUUUACUCUAAUGCAAUUUUAUUUUUUUGAGUGAGCACCGGUUUUGUUUUAUAAAUGAUUUAUACACUCUUUUUUAUUUUAACAGCCCGAGGCUUCCAAAAUUAAUCACAAAAAAAAAACAACAACAAAAAAACCCAUCCCUCAGAAAAAAGAAAAAAAAAAAAAAAAAAAAAAAAAAAAAAAAAAAGAAAAAAAAAAAAAAAAAAGAAAAAAAAAAUUGUAUUUUUUCUUCUAGGUAAGCCUCCCGUAUCUGCAACCUCGCGUUCGGUUGGCCAUCUCUUAACAUUGGUGUUAUUGGUCGGGCGCCCUUUAACCGUUAGAGGGGGGCUAGACCUAAAGGUCGGCCGUUCACCAUGUCCUUGAAUUGACUGUGUCUUAUAUGAACAGGGUUAAAAUUCAGCUUCUCGGCCAAACGGCUAUUAGUGGUCUUACGAUAGCUGCAAAAAUAGUAUGUACGUGUGGGUCCGUACAUAUUCAAAAAAAAAAAAAAUAGAUGGCUUUGCUACAAACCUCUAACAAAAUGGGUAUGUUGAAACAGACAUGUUAGCCCCCCUGUUCGAAUCUUUGUCUGCCGCUUAGCUCAGUCAAUUUUUUGGAUGGUUAUUUAUAACAUAGUAGCUUAGUUGCUACGUCCAACCCUGCAUUGUCGCUCUCCAUAUAUUCGGUUUUCCAUCUAUUCAUAUAAACAAACAUAUUUAUAUGUUUUAUCAUUAAAAAAAAAGAGCUUAAAUAGGCGUCCUAGUAGGUGACUUUCUAAACUUUCAUCAUUUUUUCUGAAAUUUGUAAUGGUGUGUGCUUAAAUAAUUAACGUAUGUAAUACAUAAUUGCCCUCAAUACACGCUAUUAUGUGCAUUUCGGUGCAAUGAAUGCUGUCCGUCAACAUCAUCUCAUUAUAUACGGAGAUCUCUGAGAGUUCACCUUCGCCUCGUUUUCUCUUUAGCUCUGAAUAUGUUAUUUUCUACUGGAUUUUCCAUGCCAUACGACUCCAUUUCCCAGACCGUAUUGUAACAGAAUUUAGCAUAUUUAGCGCUUAUUAUCAUAGUUUCAGCACCAUUGCGUUGCUUUGUAGCUGUCCAAGCAUUUUCGCUGGGAGCUGUCUUUCAUAUUUUAUUCAUUACAUUAUUUCAUAUUUUGUUUUCAUUGACAUUUAUUUGCACCAAAUGCUUAAUAAAGUCACGGCCUUAUCCCAUUCAA
Long non-coding RNA from Ruditapes philippinarum (Manila clam), 3627 nucleotides. RefSeq lists it as uncharacterized. NCBI's taxonomy places the organism in Eukaryota, Metazoa, Mollusca, Bivalvia, Venerida, Veneridae. The record is from RefSeq and is a predicted model, not a curated record. The transcript has 2 exons.